CGGCCGCUGAACCCGAGGAUGUGCAUUCGAUUGUUCGAGAUCUGAACAGUCUGGCCCUCACCUUCCCGGCCUUUUGUGCUGGGACAAGGCCAGUCAGUGCUGUGAGCUCCUGCCAGGGGUGACUUGGUUUAAUCAAACCACUGUGUGCCUGGGGGAGCUCCCCGCCUGCCCCGAUUAUACGUGCAUCCCCCCUGCGCUGCUUCGCACCCCCCCAGUCACAUUCAUCCGAUUUCGUUACAUUUCAGAGCACAACACAGGAGGGUCGGAUGCAAACCGCGCAGCUUCUGUCUCGGAGAACAUCGAGUCCACGCACGGCAGCUGCUCCGGCCCCGCUUGGCCUUGGGCUGAAGGCACCGUGUGGUUUUGGGUCUGGUGUGGUGGGAGCAGGAGGGCCCGGUCACCUCCCCUUCCUGCUUCCAGCUCUGUCCGUUCCCAGUUGGUGCCACUGCCCAGCCUCCCCCGGUCACUGCCCUCUGACCUGUGGGGUGGCCUCCCAGGCACAUUCUCCAGAGGUGGGGCCUUCUCAGCACUUCGAAGGGCCAGCUUGGUCACUUUACGUAUCUCCAGAAAGACUCCAGGCGCCGGUAACAGCCACCCCCCAGACGAGACGUGCCUGCAGACGAAGCCAAACCUCCCCAGAAACAGAAAAUGCCCUGGGCUGAGACCCAUCAGGGAGGCGGUGGGGGAGAAGCAGAGCUUCAGGGCUGUGGCCACUUUAAUGGAAUCUGUCUGUCAUGAUAAGGAAGUGGAGAGUCUCUCAGCGCUCUACAGGCAAGCUUGGGGCUCGAGCCAUGGGUUUUCUGAUGCUGUGACAACGGGACCAGGAGCUGCUGCUGACAGCAUCCCAAUACCAUCACCUGAGCCAGGCUAGUCCUGAAGACAGAGCUCCUAAACUUUGCUGAAUGCAAUAACUUCCUCUUUCGAACAUAAGCCAGUUUGGGUUGGAUUUUAUCACUCGCAACAGGAAAAGUCUUAACAGACAGAUCUCCCUUAUACAAAGUGGCAGUCACCCAGGCAACAGGAUCAGGUGGGGAGGACACCAGACGCAUUGGUCAAAGUUGGUCCUGUGCCCACAUCUGCCAUUAACCCGUUAACUGACCCUGAGCAAGCCGUUUCCUCCUGGGGACCUCAGCUCGCUCCCCAGGAAACGGGGAGGUGGAUGGUCCUUCCAGCCAGGACCCAAGUGCCCUGUAGCAUAAGGAAUACGGGACAGCUGAAGGCUCCAGAUGUCAUGGCCCGCGCUGUUCCACUGCACGGCUCCUCUCAGCCUCCCUCUUGGUGGUGAAGUCAUUCCGGAACCGGCUGCUUCGAACGAUGUAUGUCUCACAAUAAACUAGUUCACUUCAGGUUGUUUUCCUUGGGG
This 1363-nucleotide long non-coding RNA is filed under the name Vulpes vulpes (red fox). RNAcentral describes it as "lncRNA (ENSVVUG00000016033.1)". Lineage: Eukaryota; Metazoa; Chordata; Mammalia; Carnivora; Canidae. The record is from RNAcentral.